RNAcentral lists this ribosomal RNA (497 nucleotides) under uncultured bacterium. Its description in RNAcentral is "partial 16S ribosomal RNA". It matches the Rfam family "Bacterial small subunit ribosomal RNA", at positions 28 to 507 of the family's 1533-position model. The record is from RNAcentral.
GAUGAACGCUGGCGGCGUGCCUAAUACAUGCAAGUCGAGCGAACAGACGAGGAGCUUGCUCCUCUGACGUUAGCGGCGGACGGGUGAUUAACACGUGUAUAACCUACCUAUAAGACUGGUAUAACUUCGGGAAACCGGACCUAAUACCGGAUAAUUUAUUGAACCGCAUGGUUCAAUAGUUAAAUACGGUUUUUCUUUCACUUAUAGAUUGAUCCGCGCCGCAUUAGCUAGUUGGUAAGUUAACGGCUUACCAAGGCAACGAUGCGUAGCCGACGUGAGAGGGUGAUCGGCCACACUGGAACUGAGACACGGUCCAGACUCCGACGGGAGGCAGCAGUAGGGAAUCUUCCGCAAUGGGCGAAAGCCUGACGGAGCAACGCCGCGUGAGUGAUGAAGGUCUUCGGAUCGUAAAACUCUGUUAUUAGGGAAGAACAAAUGUGUAAGUAACUAGGCACGUAAUGACGGUACCUAAUCAGAAAGCCACGGCUAACUACGUG